Molecule: ribosomal RNA, 477 nt
Filed under: uncultured bacterium
Lineage: Bacteria
Description: bacterial SSU rRNA
Rfam family: Bacterial small subunit ribosomal RNA
Source: RNAcentral
UGGCGGCAGGCUUAACACAUGCAAGUCGAGCGUUAGCAGAUCUAGCUUGCUAGAUGCUGACGAGCGGCGGACGGGUGAGUAACGCGUAGGAACCUGCCCAGUAGUGGGGGAUAGCCCGGGGGAAACUCGGGUUAAUACCGCAUACGCUCUACGGAGGAAAGAGGGGGCUUCGGGCUCUCGCUAUUGGAUGGGCCUGCGUGAGAUUAGCUAGUUGGUGAGGUAAUGGCUCACCAAGGCGACGAUCUCUAGCUGGUCUGAGAGGAUGAUCAGCCACACUGGGACUGAGACACGGCCCAGACUCCUACGGGAGGCAGCAGUGGGGAAUAUUGCACAAUGGGCGCAAGCCUGAUGCAGCCAUGCCGCGUGUGUGAAGAAGGCUUUCGGGUUGUAAAGCACUUUCAGUGGGGAGGAAGGCCUCGUAGUUAAUAGCUGCGAGGAUUGACGUUACCCACAGAAGAAGCACCGGCUAACUCCGUG